UACGAAGGGGGCUAGCGUUGCUCGGAAUCACUGGGCGUAAAGCGCACGUAGGCGGCUUACUAAGUCAGGGGUGAAAUCCUGGAGCUCAACUCCAGAACUGCCUUUGAUACUGAGGAUCUUGAGUUCGGGAGAGGUGAGUGGAACUGCGAGUGUAGAGGUGAAAUUCGUAGAUAUUCGCAAGAACACCAGUGGCGAAGGCGGCUCACUGGCCCGAUACUGACGCUGAGGCACGAAAGCGUGGGGAGCAAACAGG
RNAcentral lists this ribosomal RNA (253 nucleotides) under uncultured bacterium. RNAcentral describes it as "partial 16S ribosomal RNA". It matches the Rfam family "Bacterial small subunit ribosomal RNA", at positions 524 to 776 of the family's 1533-position model. The record is from RNAcentral.